GUCCCUUUCACAAUCAUUCGAAACAUGAUUAUGAAGGGCUUUUUUCAAAAUAUGAAGAGUAAUGCCUUAACGUUAAGUUUUUUUAAAAGGUUGACCUCAGUUACAGACAAAAUGUUCACAAUUCAGAACAGGAACAAGGAAAUCUCUUAUACCAUAUAGAUGCCAGCCCUUGUCAUUGCAUCAAUAACACACCGACAGACUGUAAUGUAUCAGAAAAGAGGGAUUUGAUCGUGCAAGUUUUGAAGAAGCUUUGAAGGAGUUUCAUCUCGACGGUCAACUGGAAAACUUUUUAGAAAAGGGAAUAGAUUGCAUUCAAGUAUUUCUUAAUCAGAAAGAGGAACAUUUAAAGGAUUUAGAUAUGAAUGAGAAUCAGAUAUUAAAAUGCCAACUUGCCAUGCCAGCUAUUGCACAUAAAUAUUUUGAACAUGGUAGUAAGCGGUUACCAAACACCAAAUGAACAAUAAAAAAAACUAUUAUAAGAGGAUGUGCAAAACUUAUAGAUAUUGUGAAAACCUUGAAUGAUAAAGAACAUAGAA
This is a long non-coding RNA of Saccostrea cuccullata (small rock oyster), 536 nucleotides long. RefSeq lists it as uncharacterized. The transcript has 3 exons. The record is from RefSeq and is a predicted model, not a curated record. NCBI's taxonomy places the organism in Eukaryota, Metazoa, Mollusca, Bivalvia, Ostreida, Ostreidae.